UCAAACUUGGUCAUUUAGAGGAAGUAAAAGUCGUAACAAGGUAUCCGUAGGUGAACCUGCGGAUGGAUCAUUCAAAUGUGAUAUAUGGUCAUUUUAUACAUGGCUAUAUUCUGUUUUGUGCAACGUUUUAUUGUGUAUGUGUGCCUUUCUCUUUCUCUUUGGAGAGGAGUGUAGGCACAUGUAUCUUUUUUUACUCUUAAUUUCUCUCAUUUCAUUCUUAUUACAAACAGAACCUUGAAAACUGCCAGCAAUGGAUCCCUCGGUUCUCGCAUCGAUGAAGAACGCAGC
This 288-nucleotide unclassified non-coding RNA is filed under the name uncultured fungus. RNAcentral describes it as "partial contains small subunit ribosomal RNA, internal transcribed spacer 1, and 5.8S ribosomal RNA". The stretch from base 1 to 73 matches the Rfam family "Eukaryotic small subunit ribosomal RNA", at positions 1759 to 1831 of the family's 1831-position model. Lineage: Eukaryota; Fungi. The record is from RNAcentral.